UGUGACCUCAAAUCAGGUAGGACUACCCGCUGAACUUAAGCAUAUCAAUAAGCGGAGGAAAAGAAACUAACAAGGAUUCCCCUAGUAACUGCGAGUGAAGCGGGAAAAGCUCAAAUUUAAAAUCUGGCGGUCUUAUGGCUGUCCGAGUUGUAAUCUAGAGAAGUGUUAUCCGCGCUGGACCGUGUACAAGUCUCCUGGAAUGGAGCAUCAUAGAGGGUGAGAAUCCCGUCUUUGACAUGGACUGCCAGGGCUUUUGUGAUGCGCUCUCAAAGAGUCGAGUUGUUUGGGAAUGCAGCUCAAAAUGGGUGGUAAAUUCCAUCUAAAGCUAAAUAUUGGCGAGAGACCGAUAGCGAACAAGUACCGUGAGGGAAAGAUGAAAAGAACUUUGGAAAGAGAGUUAAACAGUACGUGAAAUUGCUGAAAGGGAAACGCUUGAAGUCAGUCGCGUCGUCCAGGGAUCAACCUUGCUUUUGCUUGGUGCACUUUCUGGUUUGACGGGUCAGCAUCAAUUUUGACUAUUGGAAAAAUAUUGAGGGAAUGUGGCAUUUUCGGAUGUGUUUAUAGCCCUUGAUUGCAUACAAUGGUUGGGAUUGAGGAACUCAGCACGCCGCAAGGCCGGG
This 620-nucleotide ribosomal RNA is filed under the name Cortinarius ochropallens. RNAcentral's name for it is "eukaryotic LSU rRNA". It matches the Rfam family "Eukaryotic large subunit ribosomal RNA", at positions 1 to 622 of the family's 3401-position model. The record is from RNAcentral. Lineage: Eukaryota; Fungi; Basidiomycota; Agaricomycetes; Agaricales; Cortinariaceae.